AUCCAGCUGACGAGUCCCAAAUAGGACGAAACACAUCCUGGAU
Schistosoma haematobium is the source of this 43-nucleotide non-coding RNA. NCBI's taxonomy places the organism in Eukaryota, Metazoa, Platyhelminthes, Trematoda, Strigeidida, Schistosomatidae. The record is from Rfam.